AAUUAAUCAAAGAUCUUGGGAACACUGUAAUGAAAUUUCAUGUCAGCUGCAUCGCUGGACGAGUGCAAAGAAUGCUGCAAAAUGUGUGACGAAGGAGAUAUUUCAGACUGUUUGCAAGUGUGCAAAGUUACAUAUGAAUAUUAGCUUAAGACUAUUCUAGACAUUGAGGGACAACACAUUACAACUGCAUAAUAUACAACAGGUUCUCUAGCCAUCACAGUUUAAUCAAUAAAAAGGACUAUAAUCAAUUUCCCGUUGGACCGAUCUUUGGUACACCAUCAA
Mytilus trossulus (common blue mussel) is the source of this 282-nucleotide long non-coding RNA. RefSeq lists it as uncharacterized. The transcript has 4 exons. The record is from RefSeq and is a predicted model, not a curated record. NCBI's taxonomy places the organism in Eukaryota, Metazoa, Mollusca, Bivalvia, Mytilida, Mytilidae.